Long non-coding RNA from Dermochelys coriacea (leatherback sea turtle), 494 nucleotides. RefSeq lists it as uncharacterized. The transcript is spliced from 3 exons. The record is from RefSeq and is a predicted model, not a curated record. Lineage: Eukaryota; Metazoa; Chordata; Testudines; Dermochelyidae.
UUUUGGGUGGAUUACAGUACAUAGUGUGAAAAGUACUGGAAGUGCAGCUGUAGUGUCAGUGGUUGGGGGUGUUAGCUGACAGGGUAAUAACAUGGAUUUCCUGCUUCUCCCUCAUUCUUCUCUCUCCCCAGCUGAAUGUUAACUAUACAGAGAAGAUGAUUUCCAUCAGCAACUAUCCCCUCUCUGCUGCCCUGACCUGUGCCAAGAUCACCACAGCCUUUGAGGAGGCAUGGGAGUGGGGCGAGGGGGUGUGAUGUGAGCCCUCUAUAACUGGCCCUGCGGAGUAGGACUCUGAUCUUUCUAGAAUUGGCAGCUAUUUUUCUACUCGUGUGUAAGGAGCACUGAGAGCCAACCUUGGCUGAAGGCUUAGUGGUAGAGUUCAAGGCAUACCGUGCUGAGGUUUCCUUUCAUACAGGCUGCUCCCACGGUGAGAGGUCAAUGGGCACCCCUCUGGGGCUGUUCUUUCUCCUUGUUUUAAAAUUACUUUUGAUAAA